This 86-nucleotide transfer RNA is filed under the name Desulfobacterales bacterium. Its description in RNAcentral is "tRNA-Leu". The record is from RNAcentral. Lineage: Bacteria; Pseudomonadati; Thermodesulfobacteriota; Desulfobacteria; Desulfobacterales.
GCCGGAGUGGUGGAAUUGGCAGACACGCUAUCUUGAGGGGGUAGUGGACUAAAUCCGUGCCGGUUCGAGCCCGGCCUUCGGCACCA